AUCCCUGGUAUCAACUUUGCAAACUACAUACCCUAAAGAGCAUGCAAAAAAGAAGGCAACCAACUCCCAUCUUAAAUCUUCUACUUUUCAGGGACUCUCCCAAGGUUGUUGAGUUGCCAUCCAAGGAAGUUAAAUAGGUAGGUACUGGACAUAGAUGAAGCUGAUGGAGAGACCUGUUCUUUUGGAAGACCAGCUCCAACUGCUUGCAGAAAGAUUUUUCUUCUUGACCUGUAUCAGAGUAGGAACGUUUAGAUUCUUUUGCUAUUGUGUAGAAAGAGUUGACAAGAAAAUUUAUAAAGUGAUAUGACACGGUUUAUUCACCUUAAGACAAUGCGGGGCCAUUAAAGCUGUCUUGCAGUCUGCAUUUAAUGCUGCAAGAAUAUUGUCCUGAAAGCUCAAAGUAUUUAAACUUCAUUGUUUUGGCUCAGUUCACCCACAGGAGUUACACUGGAAGAAAGAGAAGAAUGAGAAAGGCUUCCUGUUGUCCUAAGGAAGGUCUGAACAGGGGAGCUUGGACAAGCGAAGAAGACAAGCUUCUCUCAGACUACAUCUUGGCCCAUGGCCUUGGGAGAUGGAGAAGCCUGCCUGCCAAUGCCGGUAAGAGUAUUUGAUUCUGCAAUUCUAAGCCCAACAAUUUAAUAACAGCUGUGAGUGAGAAGCACAAAAUGGAGAUACUAUUUCCAUGAAGCAUGUCCAUGCAUGUUACAUGUAGGAUUUGGAUGACAAAUCUUAGUUUCAGAUUACAGAGAAAAAUAAGAGUAACAGAUACUGAAGCAGAUCUUUGAAGCUUCAGAUUAUGUCUUGUGUCCCUUUUACACUCAUCCAAUCUCUUGGAAACCUCAUGCAAACUAUCAGUCUUCCCAAUCCAGCAACCUAAAGCAGUCAAUGCUAAAAACUGUAAUUUCUUUUCUUUCACAUAUUUGCUGGAAAUUUUUUGUAUGCCACAAUCAAUUAACAGAGACUAGUCUGGAUCAACCUGAAGCAUUGUUUAAUAUUCAUGUUAAAGUUUCCAAAAUUGAGAAAUGUGUUUAAUGACAUGCUAGUACAUAUGGAAUAAUUUCUGACCAUCUCCAAUUUUCCCUAAGUUGCUGGAAUUGAGAAGGCAACCUCACAUUUGCCAAGACACAUAGUAAAUCUAAGAGCAAAUUUCAAAAAUUAUUUGACUCAAUCAAGGACAACCGUAUUGGUGUUAAAAGAUAAUGCCAGUGACA
Molecule: long non-coding RNA, 1211 nt
Filed under: Musa acuminata (dwarf banana)
Lineage: Eukaryota; Viridiplantae; Streptophyta; Magnoliopsida; Zingiberales; Musaceae
Description: long non-coding RNA (MACU_LNC001583)
Source: RNAcentral